AGUUACACGUUCAUGUAUUGUUGCCUGAAAUGCACCCGAAAAGUCCGACAGAGCUCUAGAGUGAAGCAAAGGAAACAAAAUAAUUUGCAAAACUACUCCGUGCUCGGUACUGCUAGGUGGUGUUAGCGGACACACAGGAUCGCCUAGUGCGGUCAGCUCCACGUGACGGUGUAGACGAUGGGAAUUCAUGAACGCUUGGUCUUUGCACAAUUGAGCGACGUGACGUCCAUUGAAAUACUAGUAGCGGAGUUCUCGGCACGUCAAAUUUUAGCUAAUACGGUCGCGGAGAGAAGUGUUCAUUGCGGGCACAUGUAGUGCGUGUGCAAGAAGCGAGUGUGCAAAUCUGCAGCCGAUCCCACUGUACGCUAGCGAGAGCCGUGAUUGUGUCGUGAGGCCAUCAUGGCAGCCAAAGGAAGAAUCGCUAUCAAGUAUCAUCAUCGCCCGCGUCCUAGCUUUGCUUUCAAUAAAGUCUUCCUGGGCAUCAUCGCCGCGAACGGACGCGUCACGGACAAUUUCUUCGACACGCAAGUGUGCAUCUAUAACCAGGUGGAUGCAGCAUGUCGAUACGCUGAAGCGGUCGGAGCUCUAAGUCUGGUCUUUGGUGUUUUGUUAGCGUUCAGCCUAUAACUACUUUCUCAUCUUGCUAGAGAUCGAGGAGGAUCGCAUCAAGACGUUCUGGUGUCUAUCAUCGUUGCGGCGUUCAUGACGUUUGCCUCGCUGGUUUGCUUUGGAGUUCUUGAGGCGCUUUCGACAAAGUCCUCCUGGGCAUCAUCGCCGUGAACGGACGCGUGACGGACAAUUUCUUCAACACGCAAGUGUGCAUCUACAACCAGGUGGAUGCAGCAUGUCGAUACGCUGAAGCGGUCGGAGCUCAAGGUCUGGUCGUUGGUGUUUUGUUUGCGUUCACCGACUUUCUCAUCUUGCUAGAGAUCAAGGAGGAGCGCAUCAAGACGUUCAACCUGGUGUCUAUUAUCGUUGCGGCGUUCAUGGCGUUUGCCUCGCUGGUUUGCUUCGGAGUUCUUGAGGCGAUGCUUGCAGGAAUGGGCGGCCGACAACCCUCGACAGGAGCGCGUUGUCCGUGAACUCAUGAGUCAACGAUGCUGCUGUGUCGGGACAGAGCGCCAUUGCUUUGUGCUUCAUAGGAAUGGUGUCUUGGGUAAGGGACAUCAAGCAGAGGAGAGAUUAUCUAUAUGCUUUGUAUAACUAGCGGAGGGUGACUGUGUGCACUGGCAGUGUACUGAGAGUACUCAAUACGGUGGACAUAGAGUAUGUAACACAGAACCCAUAGCAUACAUAACAUGAAACUCAGAGUUAUAGGAAAACCUGGGACUAACGACCACCCCUUGGGGCCAGAGAAAGUGGUCUUUAGUGGCAGGUGGUCCUUAGUUAGAGGUUUGCACCGCACCACCUUAUAAUAAUGAAUGUGAGACCGUCCGUGCCUGGUGAUGUGGUCUAUAGUAGUACAUGCCUUGUGCCUUGUAACGGGUGCAUGCCGGUCUAAAUGGUUUUAUCAUGAAUGAAGUUAUUGUACUUAUCUAUUUUCAUCUUCUCUAUAUUUAUUUGCUUUGCUUUUUCGUUAACUGAUUUGCCAGUGAUGUGAUCUAUUCGUAUUGCUCGUAUAAGAGAUUUCCAGGAGAUUUUUCGUAUUCUGCAUUGCCUUCCAACUUUGAGUGGAGCGGCGAAUUGCUUUGCUGUUCUUGGGUCCGUGAUCCGACCACGGUUGGUUGCUCAUGGAGCACACUCAGCAUUGGAUUAUUUCUUUGCACGAUGUUGGAGGUUAUUCGAAUGUGAUUGGAGGAUUAUAUAA
Sycon ciliatum is the source of this 1807-nucleotide RNA transcript. RefSeq lists it as uncharacterized. The record is from RefSeq and is a predicted model, not a curated record. The transcript is spliced from 4 exons. Lineage: Eukaryota; Metazoa; Porifera; Calcarea; Leucosolenida; Sycettidae.